This 108-nucleotide small nucleolar RNA is filed under the name Catagonus wagneri (Chacoan peccary). RNAcentral's name for it is "Small nucleolar RNA U13 (ENSCWAG00000005479.1)". It matches the Rfam family "Small nucleolar RNA U13". The record is from Rfam by way of RNAcentral. Lineage: Eukaryota; Metazoa; Chordata; Mammalia; Artiodactyla; Tayassuidae.
AUCCUUUUGUAGUUCAUAAGCGUGAUGAUUGGGUGUUCACGGGGCUGCGUAUGUGACGUGUGCCUCCCUCGAUCCUUGUUACGACAGUGGCACAUUACCCAUCUGACG